AAUUCAGAUUCUUCCACUGACCUGUAUAGGUUGUUUAGUUUGUUUUAGAAAAGGGAGGGCGUACUGCAGACGUCAUGUGAUUAAGGAGCUGACGAGCACCACAGAGGGUUGGCGGCUUAAGUUGAGCAAUAGGGAUUUUGCAGUGACCUAGUGUCCCCAUGAGUGACAGAACACUGAGCCAAUCAUGGCUCAACUACAGAAGAUUACCAACCCCUACUCUGUACUUUCCGCUGAGCCGCUGAGGUAGGCUGAAACACCUGCAUUUUGGAGCUGCCUCACUCAAGAAAGCAACAAAUAGACCAUGUUUGUAUGCAGCUUUGUUAACUCAAUACAUUUUUGUUUACAUUGUUUGCAAAUUGAUAUGUGACACGUAUUAGUGCUAAAUUAACAAGCAAUUAAAUAUUACUAUAAUAUUUUUUUUUGCUAAACA
Long non-coding RNA from Oncorhynchus masou masou (cherry salmon), 430 nucleotides. RefSeq lists it as uncharacterized. The record is from RefSeq and is a predicted model, not a curated record. Lineage: Eukaryota; Metazoa; Chordata; Actinopteri; Salmoniformes; Salmonidae. The transcript has 3 exons.